Molecule: ribosomal RNA, 3541 nt
Filed under: Triticum aestivum (bread wheat)
Lineage: Eukaryota; Viridiplantae; Streptophyta; Magnoliopsida; Poales; Poaceae
Description: partial small subunit ribosomal RNA
Source: RNAcentral
GGGGGAUACCAAAGGAGAGAGAGCAACAACAGCGACGUUUUCCUAAGAGCCAGCGCUCCCCUUAACUUCGGGCUCUGUCCAAUUCCGAUACAUAUCAUCCGCAGCAGCAGCGGAGCAGCGGCGGCGGCAGGAGGGAUCAGCAGCAGAGCAGCAGCAGCUCUUUUUUUUUAUAUAUGCGAGGUGCACCGGCCGGGCUGUAUAUUAGCCUCCCCGCCCUCCCCCUUUGCGUCGCUCUUCCCUUUCAGAAGGCGAUUGCACAGGGCGACCAAGAACUGCUGCUGCGCCCGACCGGACAAGGGAAAAAAAUAUAGAGAUAGUCACUCACACCAGAGAGAGAGAGAGAGAGAGAGAGAGAGAGAGAGGGAGAUAAAGAGAUUUCGAGAGGGAGGGAGACAAGCGGAGACAGAGAUGGAGAGGAGGUCUCUCGGAGGCAAGCCUUUCACUCCCUCGACAAGAUAACGAUGUGCUCCUCCUCAUCUUAGGUCGCUGCGGGAGAAGGGGAUUUUUCUUGGCGCCGGCGACGACGAUGAUGACAGUGGCGCCGCCGGUAUGGGAAUAGCGGCGCCACCGUGUCAGGCGACCACGCAGCACGUGAGCAGCACACCCAAGAGCAGUGCGGCGAUCUACGGCGGCCGGCCGGCCACGGCGAGUUCUAUGUCCCACUCCCAGGGAUUCCACCAGGGCAGCAGCGGCGUCUACGGCUUCUCCUCGGAUGGCUUCGACCGCCCGGGAUCCAGCCAGGACCACGACCAGCAGCAAGAGCAGCAGCACCACGUGGCGCAGCAGAGCCGACGCGACAAGAUGAGGGUCCAGGGCUUCGACCCGGCCGCCGCCGCUGCCCACGGGCUGCUCCCCAUCGAUGGCGACGAGCACGUCGAGCCCGGCGCCAUGUACGACCACGCCGCGGCCGCCGGCGCCUCCAACAUGCUCGCCGAGAUGUUCAACUUCUCCGCCCAGACGCCGUCGGGGCCAUCCGCCACCGAGCUGCUGGCCAGCCAGAUGAACGCCAACUACCGCUUCGGGUUCCGGCAGCAGGCGCCGGGAGCGGUAGUAGCCGGCUUGCCUGGCGACGGCGGUUGGUUCGGCAGCGGCGGGCCUGGCCGCGCUGGCGUGGUCCUCGGCGGGGCAAACUUAUUAGGUGAGACGUCCUCGCCGAAGCAACAAGGCGGCAUGGCGGGCCUCGCCACCGACCCGGCCGCCGCGAUGCAGCUCUUCUUGAUGAACCCUCAGCAGCAGCAACAGUCAAGGUCGUCGCCGACGUCGCCUCCGCCUUCGGACGCGCAGUCGGCUAUUCAGCACCACGAGGCGUUCCAGGCGUACGGCAACGCCGCGAGUUCGUUCGGCGGCGGCGGGGCCGGCGUGGUGGAAGGCCAGGGCCUCUCACUCUCUCUAUCGCCGUCGUUACAGCAGCUGGAGAUGGCGAAGCAGGCCGAGGAGCUAAGGGUGAGAGACGGCGUGCUCUACUUCAACCGACAGCAGCAGCAGCAGCAGCAGGCCCCGUCGGUGCAACAGCUCCCGAUGGCAUUGCACGGCCAGGUCGGCGCGAUGGGGCAGCAGCUCCACGUCGGAUACGGCCCCGCCGGGGUCGCCGGCGUGCUGCGCAACUCCAAGUACACGCGCGCGGCCCAGGAGCUCCUCGACGAGUUCUGCAGCGUGGGCCGCGGGCAGACGAUCAAGGGAGGCGGGCGCGGCGCCGGCGGCUCCUCAUCGAACCCUAACGCGAGCAAGGGCGGACCCUCCAGCUCCGGCGCCGGCCAGUCGCCAUCGUCGGCGUCCAGGGAGCCCCCGCAGCUGUCCCCCGCCGACCGGUUCGAGCAGCAGCGCAAGAAGGCCAAGCUCAUCUCCAUGCUCGACGAGGUGGAUCGGAGGUACAACCACUACUGCGACCAGAUGCAGAUGGUGGUGAACUUCUUCGACUCGGUGAUGGGGUUCGGGGCGGCGACGCCCUACACGGCGCUGGCGCAGAAGGCCAUGUCGCGGCACUUCCGGUGCCUCAAGGACGCCAUCGCCGCGCAGCUGCGGCACACCUGCGAGCUGCUGGGCGAGAAGGACGCCGGCACGAGCUCCGGGCUGACCAAGGGGGAGACACCGCGGCUCCGCGCCAUCGACCAGAGCCUCCGGCAGCAGCGCGCCUUCCACCACAUGGGCAUGAUGGAGCAGGAGGCGUGGCGGCCCCAGCGCGGCCUCCCCGAGCGCUCCGUCAGCAUCCUCCGCUCCUGGCUCUUCGAGCACUUCCUACACCCGUACCCAAGCGACGCCGAUAAGCACCUGUUGGCCAGGCAGACGGGGCUGUCCAGGAACCAGGUCUCGAAUUGGUUCAUCAACGCCCGCGUCCGGCUGUGGAAGCCCAUGAUCGAGGAGAUGUACCAGCAGGAGACGAAGGAGCUCGAGGGCUCCUCCGCCGGCGGCGGCGGAGGCGGGCCCGAGUCCGGCAACGACCCCUCUGGCGCCGACGACUUGCACUCCCCGACGACCACCGGAGCGCAUCAGCACCCGCAGCAGCAAGUAGUAAUGCAGCACGGCGACGGCAGGUACGGCCAACAAGAACACGGGAUGUCCGGCGUCCACCCCCAUAAGCUCGACCCCGGCGCGGGGCCCUCGGUGGCGGACGCCGCCUUCGUCGGCCUUGAUCCGGCGGAGCUCCUUGGCGGCGACGCGCACGUGGGUGCCGCGGACGACCUGUACGGGAGGUUCGAGCCCGGGGUGAGGAUGAGGUACGGGCCCGCCACGACCGGCUCGGUCUCCGGCAACGUGUCGCUUACGCUGGGCCUGCAGCACGCCGGCGCCGGCAACCAGGGGCCGGACGGCAGCGGCCGGUUCUCCUUGAGAGACUACAAUGGUUGUUGAUGCCUACCCACACAUAUAUCUUGAUUAUUCAUUCAUGGCUCAUGCAUGCAUUGCAUUAUUUGGAGCACUGAGGAGAUUCAAAGAGAGAAGAAAGAAAGAAAGCACCGGAGAAGAGAGAGAUCUAGAGAGAUAAACUUGCAUGGUGUCUCUGGAGGUGGUGGAAUGCAUGGGAUGGGAAUAUAUUAAUACGAGACAAAUCAUCAUCUUCAUUUUCUUCUUCCUCUUCCUCAGAUGAUUCUUAAUUUAGCUAGAUUAAUUCCUUUCGGUAGGCAUUAUUGUUGGGGGGGCUAAGGAAAAUCUGUAUACAGGAAAAGAAAGAUAGGAAGUGUAUGUUAUAGAUUUGUUUUAGUCACCUCUUUUUUUGGUUCUCCGGUUCUGUUCCAUGUUCUGUUUCUUGUCCGUUUUAGUCCUGGUGUACCAAUUUUUUCUCCUUUCCAUCUGUAACUAAACAUAAGAGAAACAUACAUACAUACAUACAUGGAUGAAUGCAUAUAUUGGUAAAUAUCUGGACAUACACACAUGGCUAUAUGCAUGUGGGCUAGAAGAAGAAGAGAUGCAUAGUACGUACAUGCAUACACUUGGCCCGGUACAAGAGUGUGGUCACUCACUCACGGCUGGCUGGCAUAUGUACCUGCAACUUGUGCGUGGCUCUUUUGAUUUUGCCCCACCUUUUGGGGAAUCCAAUUGAUGCCAU